CAAUAGCGUAUAUUUAAGUUGUUGCAGUUAAAAAGCUCGUAGUUGGAUUUCGGGUGGGACCUGCCGGUCCGUCGUUGCGAUGUGCACUGGCCGGUCCCAUCUUGUUGUCGGGGACCAGCUCCUGGGCUUCACUGUCCGGGACUGGGAGCCGACGAAGUUACUUUGAGUAAAUUAGAGUGUUCAAAGCAAGCCUACGCUCUGAAUAUAUUAGCAUGGAAUAACACGAUAGGACUCUGGCUUAUCUUGUUGGUCUGUGGGACCAGAGUAAUGAUUAAGAGGGACAGUCGGGGACAUUCGUAUUUCAUUGUCAGAGGUGAAAUUCUUGGAUUUAUGAAAGACGAACUUCUGCGAAAGCAUUUGUCAAGGAUGUUUUCAUUAA
RNAcentral lists this ribosomal RNA (379 nucleotides) under uncultured eukaryote. RNAcentral describes it as "partial 18S ribosomal RNA". It matches the Rfam family "Eukaryotic small subunit ribosomal RNA", at positions 592 to 976 of the family's 1831-position model. The record is from RNAcentral.